RNAcentral lists this ribosomal RNA (832 nucleotides) under Streptomyces panayensis. RNAcentral describes it as "bacterial SSU rRNA". It matches the Rfam family "Bacterial small subunit ribosomal RNA", at positions 48 to 895 of the family's 1533-position model. Lineage: Bacteria; Bacillati; Actinomycetota; Actinomycetes; Kitasatosporales; Streptomycetaceae. The record is from RNAcentral.
UUAACACAUGCAAGUCGAACGAUGAACCACUUCGGUGGGGAUUAGUGGCGAACGGGUGAGUAACACGUGGGCAAUCUGCCCUGCACUCUGGGACAAGCCCUGGAAACGGGGUCUAAUACCGGAUAUGAGUCUCCAAGGCAUCUUGGAGGCUGUAAAGCUCCGGCGGUGCAGGAUGAGCCCGCGGCCUAUCAGCUUGUUGGUGAGGUAACGGCUCACCAAGGCGACGACGGGUAGCCGGCCUGAGAGGGCGACCGGCCACACUGGGACUGAGACACGGCCCAGACUCCUACGGGAGGCAGCAGUGGGGAAUAUUGCACAAUGGGCGAAAGCCUGAUGCAGCGACGCCGCGUGAGGGAUGACGGCCUUCGGGUUGUAAACCUCUUUCAGCAGGGAAGAAGCGAAAGUGACGGUACCUGCAGAAGAAGCGCCGGCUAACUACGUGCCAGCAGCCGCGGUAAUACGUAGGGCGCAAGCGUUGUCCGGAAUUAUUGGGCGUAAAGAGCUCGUAGGCGGCUUGUCACGUCGGUUGUGAAAGCCCGGGGCUUAACCCCGGGUCUGCAGUCGAUACGGGCAGGCUAGAGUUCGGUAGGGGAGAUCGGAAUUCCUGGUGUAGCGGUGAAAUGCGCAGAUAUCAGGAGGAACACCGGUGGCGAAGGCGGAUCUCUGGGCCGAUACUGACGCUGAGGAGCGAAAGCGUGGGGAGCGAACAGGAUUAGAUACCCUGGUAGUCCACGCCGUAAACGGUGGGCACUAGGUGUGGGCGACAUUCCACGUCGUCCGUGCCGCAGCUAACGCAUUAAGUGCCCCGCCUGGGGAGUACGGCCGCAAGGCU